Molecule: ribosomal RNA, 600 nt
Filed under: uncultured archaeon
Lineage: Archaea
Description: bacterial SSU rRNA
Rfam family: Archaeal small subunit ribosomal RNA
Source: RNAcentral
CACCACCGGCGGACGGCUCAGUAACACGUCGGUAACCUACCCUCGGGAGGGGGAUAACCCCGGGAAACUGGGGCUAAUUCCCCAUAGGCCUGAGGUACUGGAAGGUCCUCAGGCCGAAAGGGACUUAUGUCCGCCCGAGGAUGGGCCGGCGGCCGAUUAGGUAGUUGGUGGGGUAAUGGCCCACCAAGCCGAAGAUCGGUACGGGCUGUGAGAGCAGGAGCCCGGAGAUGGACACUGAGACACGGGUCCAGGCCCUACGGGGCGCAGCAGGCGCGAAACCUCCGCAAUGCGGGAAACCGCGACGGGGGGACCCCGAGUGCCGUGGCAACGCCACGGCUUUUCCGGAGUGUAAAAAGCUCCGGGAAUAAGGGCUGGGCAAGGCCGGUGGCAGCCGCCGCGGUAAUACCGGCGGCCCGAGUGGUGGCCGCUAUUAUUGGGCCUAAAGCGUCCGUAGCCGGGCCCGUAAGUCCCUGGCGAAAUCCCACGGCUCAACCGUGGGGCUUGCUGGGGAUACUGCGGGUCUUGGGACCGGGAGAGGCGGGGGGUACCCCUGGGGUAGGGGUGAAAUUCCUAUAAUCCCAGGGGGACCGCCAGUGGCGA